RNAcentral lists this transfer RNA (74 nucleotides) under Candidatus Saganbacteria bacterium CG08_land_8_20_14_0_20_45_16. Its description in RNAcentral is "tRNA-Gln". It matches the Rfam family "tRNA". Rfam says of the family: Transfer RNA (tRNA) molecules are approximately 80 nucleotides in length. Their secondary structure includes four short double-helical elements and three loops (D, anti-codon, and T loops). Lineage: Bacteria; Bacillati. The record is from RNAcentral.
UGGGGGAUCGUCUAAUGGUAGGACAGCAGACUCUGACUCUGCUUGUGAGGGUUCGAAUCCUUCUCCCCCAGCCA